Bubalus bubalis (water buffalo) is the source of this 865-nucleotide non-coding RNA. Lineage: Eukaryota; Metazoa; Chordata; Mammalia; Artiodactyla; Bovidae. The record is from the annotation of a RefSeq genome assembly.
GGCUUUGAGCAAGCUCCGGGAGCUGGUGUUGGACAAGGAAGCCUGGCCUGCUGCUGUCCAUGGGGUCGCAGAGAAUUGGACACGACUGAGCGACUGAACUGAACUGAGGUCAGAUAUGACUGUGGUGUAAUCUUUAAGAUCACCACCAGAGGGCGGGGCUUCCUUCAGAUGCGAUUCCUUUUUGUAUUCAGGAGCUGGUUUGACUUGCCUACUCUGUAGCCACAAGACAGAUGACUGCUGCUGUGCAGAAAGGGGUUCCCGGUUUCUGAGUGAGGAGCUUCUGUAACAUCCAGCCAGAGACUAACUUUGUUAGAUUUGAUGUUUCUAGGAAAAGAGGACUGUUGCCAGAAUGUUUUCUGCCACUCACUCAGUUCUCAUAAUCUGCUUAAUACUUGGAGGGACCAAUGGUGACUCAGUGAACCAGACAGAAGGCCCAGUGAUUGUCUCAGAGGGGGCUUUUAUGACCCUGAACUGCACUUACCAGACCAAGUAUUCAGAUUUCUAUCUUUUCUGGUAUGUCCAGCGUCUCAACAAAGCUCCUCAACUCCUCCUGAAGGGCUUAACAGCAGACAAGAAGGUAGAGCAUGAAGGUUUUCAGGCCACUCUUGUUAGGAGUGACAGCUCCUUCCACCUGCAGAAACGGGCAGUGCAAGCAUCAGACUCGGCCGUGUACUACUGUGCUCUGAGUGACACAGUGAGAGAGGGCUGCGGGGGAGCUGAGCACAAACCCAAGGGGAGCAGGAGGCUGAAGUCAGGAAGAGGUAUAUUCUCUCCUUGAUCAGAGUUUAGUUUACAUUUAGAGUUUUUCAGGAAAACCAAUCAAGCUCAGGUCUAAUCCUAGAAACCCAGGAGGUUGGGAAUUGCU